AUGAAAAAAGCACAAGAAAAGCUUGGAGCAUUGCUGGGGCAAAACCCUGGCUUGUCCAAAGAUUUCAACAACUGUGUUGACUUCAGCUUGACGCCGGAAGAAUUUGAGGCAGGGUGGUGUGAGCUGAUGAUGAAGUAUGAGGCUAUGACUGACUCCCACUUCAAGAAUCUAUACAAGUACAAAGAGACAUGGGUACCCUGCUACUUCAAGCACCAAUUCUUCCCUUUCUUGCAGUCAACUCAAUGCAGCGAGGGGUUCAACGCUGUCCUUAAGCGAUAUGUGAACCCACACAAGUCCAUUUUGAACUUUGUGAAGCAAUAUCAGAAAAUCCAAACACACAUACAAGUCCGGGAGGGUUCAAAAGACUACAGGACAGGACAUUUACAGACUGAAAUGUGGUCAUCCUGUGUUAGAGAAGCAGGUGUACGGUUCAUAUACUAG
This 441-nucleotide ribosomal RNA is filed under the name Triticum aestivum (bread wheat). RNAcentral's name for it is "partial small subunit ribosomal RNA". The record is from RNAcentral. Lineage: Eukaryota; Viridiplantae; Streptophyta; Magnoliopsida; Poales; Poaceae.